UACAGAGACCUCGAGCGUUAUCCGGAUUUAUUGGGCGUAAAGGGUCCGUAGGCGGUUUGGCGCGUCCGCGGUGAAAGCUCCCGGCUCAACCGGGGAACUGCUGCGGAUACGGCCAGACUUGAGCGUGUGAGAGGCUGGAGGAACUCACGGUGGAGGGGUGAAAUCCGUUGAUAUCGUGGGGAACACCGAAGGCGAAAGCAUCCAGCUGGCGCAACGCUGACGCUGAGGGACGAAAGCGUGGGGAGCGAAUGGG
RNAcentral lists this ribosomal RNA (253 nucleotides) under uncultured bacterium. RNAcentral describes it as "partial 16S ribosomal RNA". It matches the Rfam family "Bacterial small subunit ribosomal RNA", at positions 524 to 776 of the family's 1533-position model. The record is from RNAcentral.